GCGGACGUGGCGGAACUGGUAUACGCGCCAGGUUUAGGUCCUGGUGUCCGAAAGGACAUGGGGGUUCGAGUCCCCCCGUCCGCA
Molecule: transfer RNA, 84 nt
Filed under: Acidimicrobiia bacterium
Lineage: Bacteria; Bacillati; Actinomycetota; Acidimicrobiia
Description: tRNA-Leu
Rfam family: tRNA
About the family: Transfer RNA (tRNA) molecules are approximately 80 nucleotides in length. Their secondary structure includes four short double-helical elements and three loops (D, anti-codon, and T loops).
Source: RNAcentral